CAGAGGGGGCUAGCGUUGUUCGGAAUUACUGGGCGUAAAGGGCGCGUAGGCUGUCUUGUAAGUCAGAUGUGAAAUCCCAGGGCUUAACCCCGGAAUUGCAUUUGAAACUAUGAGACUAGAGAAUGAUAGGGGAUAGCAGAAUUCCUAGUGUAGGAGUGAAAUCCGUAGAUAUUAGGAGGAAUACCAGUGGCGAAGGCGGCUAUCUGGAUCAUUUCUGACGCUGAGGCGCGAAAGUGUGGGGAGCAAACAGGAUUAGAUACCCUGGUAGUCCACACUGUAAACGAUGAGUGCUAGAUGUCGGCCCUUUAUGGGUCGGUGUUGCAGCUAACGCAUUAAGCACUCCGCCUGGGGAGUACGGUCGCAAGAUUA
Molecule: ribosomal RNA, 369 nt
Filed under: uncultured organism
Description: bacterial SSU rRNA
Rfam family: Bacterial small subunit ribosomal RNA
Source: RNAcentral